RNAcentral lists this ribosomal RNA (490 nucleotides) under uncultured bacterium. RNAcentral's name for it is "partial 16S ribosomal RNA". It matches the Rfam family "Bacterial small subunit ribosomal RNA", at positions 30 to 507 of the family's 1533-position model. The record is from RNAcentral.
AUUGAACGCUGGCGGCAGGCCUAACACAUGCAAGUCGAACGGUAACAGGAAGAGGCUUGCUUCUUAGCUGUCGAGUGGCGGACGGGUGUGAAAUGUCUGUGAAACUGUACGAUGGCGGGGGAUAUCAACUGGAAAAGGUAGCUAUUAUAGCGCAAAGUCGCUACACCAAAGAGGGGGACAUUUGGGCACCUUGCCAUAGGGUGUGCCCCGAUGGGAUUAGCUAGUAGGUGGGGUAACGGCUCACCUAGGCGACGAUCCCUAGCUGGUCUGAGAGGAUGACCAGCCACACUGGAACUGAGACACGGUCCAGACUCCUACGGGAGGCAGCAGUGGGGAAUAUUGGACAAUGGGCGCAAGCCUGAUGCAGCCAUGCCGCGUGUAUGAAGAAGGCCUUCGGGUUGUAAAGUACUUUCGUCGGGAAAGAAGAGAGGAAGGUUAAUACCUUGGCGCAUUGACGUUACCCACAGAAGAAGCACCGGCUAACUCCGUG